GACGAACGCUGGCGGCGUGCUUAACACAUGCAAGUCGAACGGAAAGGCCCUGCUUUUGUGGGGUGCUCGAGUGGCGAACGGGUGAGUAACACGUGUGUAACCUGUCCUUGACUUUGGGAUAUCUUCAGGAAACUGGGGCUAAUACCGGCUAGGAGCUCCUGCUGCAUGGUGGGCGUUGGUAAGUUUCGGCGGUUGGGGAUGUACUCGCGGCUUAUCAGCUUGUUCGUGGGGUAGUGGCUUACCAAGGUUUUGACGGGUAGCCGGCCUGAGAGGGUUGCCGGCCACAAUAGGACUGAGAUACGGCGCAGACUCCUACGGGAGGCAACAGUGGGGAAUAUUGCACAAUAGGCGGAAGCCUGAUGCGACAACGCCGCGUGCGGGAUGACGUCCUUCGGGUUGUGAACCGCUUUCGCAUGAGACGAGGCGUGAGUGACGGUAAUGGGUAAAGAAGCACCGGCUAACUACGUG
Molecule: ribosomal RNA, 468 nt
Filed under: uncultured bacterium
Lineage: Bacteria
Description: partial 16S ribosomal RNA
Rfam family: Bacterial small subunit ribosomal RNA
Source: RNAcentral